RNAcentral lists this long non-coding RNA (481 nucleotides) under Homo sapiens (human). RNAcentral describes it as "non-protein coding lnc-SERPINC1-4:1". Lineage: Eukaryota; Metazoa; Chordata; Mammalia; Primates; Hominidae. The record is from RNAcentral.
GUAAUUUGGUCUCUCCCAUUAACACCAUUAAAUAGAUGAUAACUGAUUUUAUUUCCUUCUCUUUCAAAGGAAAACCAGUGUUCUCUGGACAUGAAAAGCAAACUGAAUACAAGUAAACAAGCAGAAAAUGGACAACCAGAACCACAAAACAAGGUUCCGGCUGAGGACCUUACAUUGACAUUCAGUGAUGUACCAAAUGGAUCAGCCUUGACACAAGAGAAUAUCAGCCUCCUAUCAAACAAGACCAGCUCUCUGAACCUGUCAGAGGACCCUGAGGGAGGAGGGGAUAAUAAUGACUCCCAGAGAUCAGGAGUUACUCCCAGUUCUGCUCCUUAAAAUAUGAGGAGUCCUACUUUUAUCUUCUGCUCCUAAUCAGUUUGUCGGGCAUAGGGGUAGGAGAACGCAUAACUUCUAAACUUUUUCUCUUAAGAGCGGUCAGAGAAAUCCAGGAAAUUCACCAGAGGCAAUGUGCACAAACACC